RNAcentral lists this ribosomal RNA (874 nucleotides) under Nesterenkonia sp. Its description in RNAcentral is "bacterial SSU rRNA". It matches the Rfam family "Bacterial small subunit ribosomal RNA", at positions 575 to 1445 of the family's 1533-position model. The record is from RNAcentral. Lineage: Bacteria; Bacillati; Actinomycetota; Actinomycetes; Micrococcales; Micrococcaceae.
GCGGUUUGUCACGUCUGCUGUGAAAGCCCGGGGCUCAACCCCCGGGUGUGCAGUGGGUACGGGCAGACUAGAGUGCAGUAGGGGAGACUGGAAUUCCUGGUGUAGCGGUGAAAUGCGCAGAUAUCAGGAGGAACACCGAUGGCGAAGGCAGGUCUCUGGGCUGUUACUGACGCUGAGGAGCGAAAGCAUGGGGAGCGAACAGGAUUAGAUACCCUGGUAGUCCAUGCCGUAAACGUUGGGCACUAGGUGUGGGGGACAUUCCACGUUUUCCGCGCCGUAGCUAACGCAUUAAGUGCCCCGCCUGGGGAGUACGGCCGCAAGGCUAAAACUCAAAGGAAUUGACGGGGGCCCGCACAAGCGGCGGAGCAUGCGGAUUAAUUCGAUGCAACGCGAAGAACCUUACCAAGGCUUGACAUGGACCGGACCGCUGCAGAGAUGCAGCUUCCCUUCGGGGUCGGUUCACAGGUGGUGCAUGGUUGUCGUCAGCUCGUGUCGUGAGAUGUUGGGUUAAGUCCCGCAACGAGCGCAACCCCUAUCCUAUGUUGCCAGCACGUUAUGGUGGGGACUCAUGGGAGACUGCCGGGGUCAACUCGGAGGAAGGUGGGGACGACGUCAAAUCAUCAUGCCCCUUAUGUCUUGGGCUUCACGCAUGCUACAAUGGCCGGUACAAUGGGUUGCGAUACUGUGAGGUGGAGCUAAUCCCUAAAAGCCGGUCUCAGUUCGGAUCGAAGUCUGCAACUCGACUUCGUGAAGUUGGAGUCGCUAGUAAUCGCAGAUCAGCAACGCUGCGGUGAAUACGUUCCCGGGCCUUGUACACACCGCCCGUCAAGUCACGAAAGUUGGUAACACCCGAAGCCGGUGGCCUAACCCUGUG